RNAcentral lists this long non-coding RNA (1779 nucleotides) under Fukomys damarensis (Damara mole-rat). Its description in RNAcentral is "lncRNA (ENSFDAG00000031672.1)". Lineage: Eukaryota; Metazoa; Chordata; Mammalia; Rodentia; Bathyergidae. The record is from RNAcentral.
UGGGGUCUGGCGGAAGAGGUGUGGACUGAAGGGCUCCUCCCUUCUCGGGACACUUCCUGGGCGCCAUGCUGUGAGUCGCUUUCCUCCACUAGGCCCUGCCGCGGUGCCUGCCUUCCUUCCUUGGAGCUCCACCAGUCAUGAACCAAAACAGACCUCUCCGCCCUAAGUCCUGGGUGUCUGGUAUUGUGUCUUGGUGAUGAGAAAGUGGCUAAGCCAACCCCGUCUUCGGAUUUUGGCGCAGUCUCCCUCCGCAGAGCCGCCUCGUGGCAGUUCAGGGUUUUUAUUCCAAGCGGCAGACUCAGCCCUAGCUGGCCCAAACACACGGCAGGACUUCUCAGCUCCUGUCCAGACAUGUGUGCCUUCAGGAAGCUGUGGUCAGCACCUGGCUGCAGUUCAGUGAUGGCUCGGUGACGCCCCUGGACAUCUACGACAGCAAGGACUUCUCCCUCGCCGCCAGCUCCCUGGACGAGGCUGUUGUGUCCGUGUCCCAGCCGCACUCUCCGCACUGGCCCAUCGUGGUGGCUGAGGGGACCGGCCAGGGCCCGCUGGUCCGCGUGGACAUGAGCAUCGCCGAGUCCUGCCAGAAAUCCAAGCGCAGAAGUGUGCUGGCUGUGGGCUUUGGUAAUGUCAGGGUCAAGUUCGGACAGAGCAAUGUGGAUGCCGGGACGGGGGCCACUGAGGAGGAGGAGGAGCAGGCAGGGGCAGAGAGCGAGAACCGCAGCAGCGACCGCAGGCAGAAGGGCCUGGAGGGGCCGCCACAGAGUGGCUCUGCUGGGGAACUCAAGGAAGGGGCUCUGUGGAGGGCCGGCUCCAGGGCCAAGGCACAGCCGGAGGGUAAGGCGGUGCAAAACAGCCACCCAUCAGGGGAUGAGCUGCCACACACCAUCCCGCUGGACUUCUCCAACUUCCCAGGGCACCUGGGCCUCCCAGGGGCUGGGGCUGGGCUGCAGGGUGGCGGCCUAGUACCCACAGCACGAGGCCUGAGUGACCUGGAGAUCGGCAUGUACGCGCUGCUGGGCGUCUUCUGCCUGGCCAUCCUUGUCUUCCUCAUCAACUGUGCCACUUUUGCCCUAAAGUUCCGGCGCAAGCAGGUGCCGCUCGAGGGCCAGGCCUCUGUAACGCACUUGCACGACUGGGUGUGGCUGGGCAAUGAGGCUGAGCUGCUGGAGAGCAUGGGGAACCCCACAUCGCCCCCCGAGGAGCACACCACAGCCAUAGACCACGGCCCGGGGCACUGCAGGGAGAGCGAGCUGCUGCUCGUGGGCAGGGCCGGUGCCCAGCAGCAGGUGCCCGGCCAGGUGCACUGGGCUGUAGGUGGCGGGGCCCAGCAGGAGCCGCACCCACUGGCCUCCCAGAGGAAGAGGGUCCAGUUCGCCACCUUCCCGGCCAUCCCAGUCCCGCCGGUGGGCGGCUCUGCCGUGGCCACCUCCAUUCUGGGGGUGCACUAAGGUGGUGUGUCCCCCAAGAGCUCAGACUCUCUGGAAAGGUGCCCAGAGCCUUGAGAACCCUCAGCGGGUCCAGGGCAGAGGCCAGGGCGGGGCCACAGCUGUGGAUGCCGGCAUGGCACCUUCAUAGGACACUUUGCAAAGCAGCAUCCUUGGAUAUCGGGUGCGGACAGAGAUGGGGUGCAGAGACGCUGUGCCCCACACAGCAAAUUAGGAGGGGCAUUUUACGAAUCAACCUGUCAUACAGCUACCAAAAAUUAUUUGUUAAAAAACACAAAAAAAGACGAAUAAAAAGAGACAAAGAAUGAUUUGUUUAUAUUUCUAAUAAAGGAGC